AAAGUAGGCCAUCUUGUCGCUGCUUUCUGUCGAAAGGAGAGGAAAGUCCGGGCAACGCAGGACACUUUGCUUCCUAACGGGAAGAUGUUCGUGAGGGCAUAGUAACGUAACAGAAAAUGACCGCCUUGCUUGCAGGGUAAGGGUGAAAAGGUGAGGUAAGAGCUCACCGGCAUGAAUAGCAAUAUUCGUGGCCGUACGUCUCAAAGGUUGCAAGACCAUGUAUAUCACGAUCCGGCUUGCCGGUCAGGGUUGUCCGCCCUGUUGCUUGCAGUCGUGAGGGGUAGGUUGCUCAAGACAGGGGGAGACUCCUGUUUUAGAUAAAUGACAAGAACCUCGUAUGAGGCACAGAACCCGGCUUAUCGGCUUACUUUUUUU
This 375-nucleotide RNase P RNA is filed under the name Breznakibacter xylanolyticus. Its description in RNAcentral is "Cytophaga xylanolytica Bacterial RNase P class A". It matches the Rfam family "Bacterial RNase P class A". Rfam says of the family: Ribonuclease P (RNase P) is a ubiquitous endoribonuclease, found in archaea, bacteria and eukarya as well as chloroplasts and mitochondria. Its best characterised activity is the generation of mature 5'-ends of tRNAs by cleaving the 5'-leader elements of precursor-tRNAs. The record is from Rfam by way of RNAcentral. Lineage: Bacteria; Pseudomonadati; Bacteroidota; Bacteroidia; Marinilabiliales; Marinilabiliaceae.